This 320-nucleotide ribosomal RNA is filed under the name uncultured Lactobacillus sp. RNAcentral's name for it is "bacterial SSU rRNA". It matches the Rfam family "Bacterial small subunit ribosomal RNA", at positions 221 to 525 of the family's 1533-position model. The record is from RNAcentral. Lineage: Bacteria; Bacillati; Bacillota; Bacilli; Lactobacillales; Lactobacillaceae.
GGGGAUGGCCCCGCGGUGCAUUAGCUAGUUGGUAAGGUAAAGGCUUACCAAGGGCGAUGAUGCAUAGCCCGAGUUGAGAGACUGAUCGGCCACAUUGGGGACUGAGACACGGGCCCAAACUCCUACGGGAGGCAGCAGUAGGGAAUCUUCCGCAAUGGGACGCAAGUCUGAUGGAGCAAACGCCGCGUGAGUGAAGAAGGUUUUCGGAUCGUAAAGCUCUGUUGUUGGUGAAGAAGGAUAGAGGUAGUAACUGGCCCUUUAUUUGACGGUAAUCAACCAGAAAGUCACGGGCUAACUACGUGCCAGCAGCCGCGGUAAAU